This 465-nucleotide ribosomal RNA is filed under the name uncultured bacterium. RNAcentral's name for it is "partial 16S ribosomal RNA". It matches the Rfam family "Bacterial small subunit ribosomal RNA", at positions 28 to 507 of the family's 1533-position model. The record is from RNAcentral.
GACGAACGCUGGCGGCGUGCUUAACACAUGCAAGUCGAACGGAAAGGCCCUGCUUGCAGGGUACUCGAGUGGCGAACGGGUGAGUAACACGUGGGUGAUCUGCCCUGCACUUCGGGAUAAGCCUGGGAAACUGGGUCUAAUACCGGAUAGGAGCCAUUUUUAAUGUGAUGGUUGGAAAGUUUUUUCGGUGUAGGAUGAGCUCGCGGCCUAUCAGCUUGUUGGUGGGGUAAUGGCCUACCAAGGCGGCGACGGGUAGCCGGCCUGAGAGGGUGGACGGCCACAUUGGGACUGAGAUACGGCCCAGACUCCUACGGGAGGCAGCAGUGGGGAAUAUUGCACAAUGGGCGCAAGCCUGAUGCAGCGACGCCGCGUGGGGGAUGACGGCCUUCGGGUUGUAAACUCCUUUCGCUAGGGACGAAGCUUUUUGUGACGGUACCUAGAUAAGAAGCACCGGCUAACUACGUG